GGUUUCACGAAGAAAUUUCUGUCUCAUUUUUCUUAUUUGAACUUCAUUGAGUUGUGCAAAAGCAACUUUAACCUUGAAAGACGAUCAGACCCUGUAAAGCUUCAUACUAACCUUAGAAUAAAAGUAAGCGUGAUACUGAAUCCAAGUACGUUUUUUGUUGGGAUGACAAAGAGCAAAAAAUCAACUCUCUUUUAAUUAAAUAGUUAUCACUAAAAUUUAGAUCCUAGUUGAUAGAUCAAAAGACUAAGUUACUUCAGGGAUAACAGCGUUAUUUCUUUAAAGAGUUCUUAUCGAUAAAGAAGUUUGCGACCUCGAUGUUGGAUCAAAGUUUCUUCAAGGUGUAACAGCUUUGAAAGAAAGUCUGUUCGACUUUUAAAUCUUUACGUGAUCUGAGU
RNAcentral lists this ribosomal RNA (395 nucleotides) under Alonella excisa. RNAcentral describes it as "partial large subunit ribosomal RNA". It matches the Rfam family "Bacterial large subunit ribosomal RNA", at positions 1998 to 2610 of the family's 2925-position model. Lineage: Eukaryota; Metazoa; Arthropoda; Branchiopoda; Diplostraca; Chydoridae. The record is from RNAcentral.